RNAcentral lists this ribosomal RNA (301 nucleotides) under uncultured bacterium. RNAcentral describes it as "partial 16S ribosomal RNA". It matches the Rfam family "Bacterial small subunit ribosomal RNA", at positions 509 to 807 of the family's 1533-position model. The record is from RNAcentral.
CAGUAGCCGCGGUAAUACGUAGGGUGCGAGCGUUAAUCGGAAUUACUGGGCGUAAAGCGUGCGCAGGCGGUUCGUUAAGACAGAUGUGAAAUCCCCGGGCUUAACCUGGGAACUGCAUUUGUGACUGGCGAGCUAGAGUAUGGCAGAGGGGGGUAGAAUUCCACGUGUAGCAGUGAAAUGCGUAGAGAUGUGGAGGAACACCGAUGGCGAAGGCAGCCCCCUGGGCCAAUACUGACGCUCAUGCACGAAAGCGUGGGGAGCAAACAGGAUUAGAUACCCCAGUAGUCCCUGUCUCUUAUAC